AGCGUAGACGGCGCAGCAAGUCUGAUGUGAAAGGCAGGGGCUUAACCCCUGGACUGCAUUGGAAACUGCCCGUCUUGAGUGCCGGAGAGGUAAGCGGAAUUCCUAGUGUAGCGGUGAAAUGCGUAGAUAUUAGGAGGAACACCAGUGGCGAAGGCGGCUUACUGGACGGUAACUGACGUUGAGGCUCGAAAGCGUGGGGAGCAAACA
This 207-nucleotide ribosomal RNA is filed under the name uncultured bacterium. RNAcentral's name for it is "partial 16S ribosomal RNA". It matches the Rfam family "Bacterial small subunit ribosomal RNA", at positions 568 to 774 of the family's 1533-position model. The record is from RNAcentral.